RNAcentral lists this ribosomal RNA (391 nucleotides) under uncultured bacterium. RNAcentral describes it as "bacterial SSU rRNA". It matches the Rfam family "Bacterial small subunit ribosomal RNA", at positions 37 to 412 of the family's 1533-position model. The record is from RNAcentral.
CCGUCCGCGGGAAUUAGAUUCAGGCCUAACACAUGCACGUCGAUCGGUAGCACAGGGAGCUUGCUUCUGGGUGGCGAGCGGCGGACGGGUGAGUAAUGUCUGGGAAACUGCAUGAUGGAGGGGGAUAUCUCCUGGAAACAAUAGCUAAUCCCGCAUACCGUCCCAAGACCAAAGAGGGGGACCUUGGGCCCUCUUGCCAUCAGAUGUGCCCAGAUGGGAUUAGCUAUUAGGUGGGGUAAGGGCUCACGUAGGCGCUGAUCCCUAGCUGGUCUGAGAGGAUGACCAGCCACACUGGACAUGAGACACGGUCCAGACUCCUACGGGAGGCAGCAGUGGGGAAUAUUGCACAAUGGGCGCAAGCCUGAUGCAGCCAAGGGGCGUGUAUGAAGAA